RNAcentral lists this ribosomal RNA (253 nucleotides) under uncultured bacterium. RNAcentral's name for it is "partial 16S ribosomal RNA". It matches the Rfam family "Bacterial small subunit ribosomal RNA", at positions 524 to 776 of the family's 1533-position model. The record is from RNAcentral.
UACAGAGGUCUCAAGCGUUGUUCGGAUUCAUUGGGCGUAAAGGGUGCGUAGGCGGUUCGCUAAGUUGGAUGUGAAAACUCUGGGCUUAACCCAGAGCCUGCAUCCAAUACUGACGAGCUAGAGUUCUGGAGGGGGUAGCGGAAUUCCUGGUGUAGCGGUGAAAUGCGUAGAUAUCAGGAGGAACACCGGUGGCGAAGGCGGCUACCUGGACAGAGUCUGACGCUGAGGCACGAAGGCUAGGGGAGCAAACAGG